This 440-nucleotide ribosomal RNA is filed under the name uncultured bacterium. RNAcentral describes it as "bacterial SSU rRNA". It matches the Rfam family "Bacterial small subunit ribosomal RNA", at positions 93 to 518 of the family's 1533-position model. The record is from RNAcentral.
GAGCGGCGGACGGGUGAGUAACACGUGGACAAUCUCGCCCCCCGGCCCGGGAUAGCCCAGGGAAACCUGGAUUAAUACCGGAUGAGACGGGACCCGCGAUGGCGGGAUCCGGGAAAGGCGCUGCGGCGCCGCCGGGGGAUGAGUCUGCGUCCCAUUAGCUAGACGGCGGGGUAACGGCCCACCGUGGCGACGAUGGGUAGCCGGCCUGAGAGGGUGGACGGCCACAUUGGAACUGAGACACGGUCCAGACUCCUACGGGAGGCAGCAGCUAAGAAUCUUCCGCAAUGGGCGAAAGCCUGACGGAGCGACGCCCGCGUGAACGAAGAAGGCCGUGAGGUUGUAAAGUUCUUUUCGGGAGGGGGAACAACCGUGGCAGGGAAUGGCCGCGGGAUGACGUGAAUCCCGGAAUAAGCCCCGGCUAACUACGUGCCAGCAGCGGC